This 72-nucleotide transfer RNA is filed under the name Bos taurus (domestic cattle). It matches the Rfam family "tRNA". Rfam says of the family: Transfer RNA (tRNA) molecules are approximately 80 nucleotides in length. Their secondary structure includes four short double-helical elements and three loops (D, anti-codon, and T loops). The record is from Rfam by way of RNAcentral. Lineage: Eukaryota; Metazoa; Chordata; Mammalia; Artiodactyla; Bovidae. RNAcentral also lists the same sequence under 2 other names.
UCCCAGGUGGCUCAGUGGUAAAGAAUCUGCCUGCCAAAGCAGGAGACAGGGGUUUGAUCCCUCUGUUGGGAA